CAAAAACAUAACCUUUAGCCAAACAAAUAUUAAAGGCAACGCCUGCCCAGUGAAGAAUUAAACGGCCGCGGUACCCUAACCGUGCAAAGGUAGCAUAAUCAUUUGUCUAUUAACUGUAGACCAGUAUGAAAGGCAAAAUGAGGGUUUAACUGUCUCUUAUAAUAAAUCUAUUAAACUGAUCUUCCAGUAAAAAAGCUGGAAUAACCACAUAAGACCAGAAGACCCUGUGAAGCUUAAACUAAACUAUUAAACCCAAUAAUAACUACUUUCGGUUGGGGCGACCUUGGAAAUAAGAAAAACUUCCAAAUAUAUACCACUAUAGGCCAACAAGCCAACACACGACCCAGUAAAACUGAUAAACGAACAAAGUUACUCCAGGGAUAACAGCGCUAUCUUCUUCAAGAGCCCAUAUCAAAAAGAAGGUUUACGACCUCGAUGUUGGAUCAGGACAUCCUAAUGGUGCAGCAGCUAUUAAGG
RNAcentral lists this ribosomal RNA (477 nucleotides) under Aspidura ceylonensis (Ceylon keelback). Its description in RNAcentral is "partial 16S ribosomal RNA". It matches the Rfam family "Bacterial large subunit ribosomal RNA", at positions 1808 to 2570 of the family's 2925-position model. Lineage: Eukaryota; Metazoa; Chordata; Lepidosauria; Squamata; Natricidae. The record is from RNAcentral.